AACGAACGCUGGCGGCAUGCCUAAUACAUGCAAGUCGAACGAGACCUUCGGGUCUAGUGGCGCACGGGUGCGUAACGCGUGGGAAUCUGCCCUUGGGUUCGGAAUAACAGCUGGAAACGGCUGCUAAUACCGGAUGAUGACGAAAGUUCAAAGAUUUAUCGCCCAGGGAUGAGCCCGCGUAGGAUUAGCUAGUUGGUGAG
Molecule: ribosomal RNA, 200 nt
Filed under: uncultured bacterium
Lineage: Bacteria
Description: partial 16S ribosomal RNA
Rfam family: Bacterial small subunit ribosomal RNA
Source: RNAcentral